GAGGAGUGCUGCUUACUGAUUUGCU
This 25-nucleotide non-coding RNA is filed under the name Cricetulus griseus (Chinese hamster). The record is from RNAcentral. Lineage: Eukaryota; Metazoa; Chordata; Mammalia; Rodentia; Cricetidae.